CGACGCUGGCGGCGUGCUUAAAACAUGCAAGUCGAACGGGUCUCGCAACUCGUCACUGGUCGCUCGUCACUCGGUGGAACCGGAAGGGGAAACGGGAAGGGAGAGAACUCCUAGCGACGAACGACGAGAGACGAGGUGCGAGAUUAGUGGCGGACGGGUGAGUAACACGUGGGUAAUCUACCCUUGAGUUCGGGACAACAGUUCGAAAGGGCUGCUAAAACCGGAUAAGCUCACGGCUUCACAUGAAGCUGGGAGAAAGGAAACGCUUGAGGAUGAGCCCGCGGCCCAUUAGCUAGUUGGUGAGGUAACGGCCCACCAAGGCGACGAUGGGUAGCCGGCCUGAGAGGGUGAACGGCCACACUGGGACUGAGACACGGCCCAGACUCCUACGGGAGGCAGCAGUUGGGAAUCUUCGGCAAUGGGCGAAAGCCUGACCGAGCAACGCCGCGUGAGGGAUGAAGGCCUUCGGGUUGUAAACCUUUGUCUAGUGGAACGAUAAUGACGGUACCACUGGAGGAAGCUACGGCCAACUACGUG
Molecule: ribosomal RNA, 537 nt
Filed under: uncultured bacterium
Lineage: Bacteria
Description: bacterial SSU rRNA
Rfam family: Bacterial small subunit ribosomal RNA
Source: RNAcentral